RNAcentral lists this ribosomal RNA (381 nucleotides) under uncultured bacterium. Its description in RNAcentral is "bacterial SSU rRNA". It matches the Rfam family "Bacterial small subunit ribosomal RNA", at positions 30 to 425 of the family's 1533-position model. The record is from RNAcentral.
AUUGAACGCUGGCGGCAGGCUUAACACAUGCAAGUCGAGCGGAGACUUCGGUCUUAGCGGCGAACGGGUGAGUAAUACCUAGGAAUCUGCCUAUUAGUGGGGAUAACGAAUCGAAAGGUUCGCUAAUACCGCAUACGUCCUACGGGAGAAAGGGGGGGAUCUUCGGACCUCUCGCUAAUAGAUGAGCCUAGGCCGGAUUAGCUAGUUGGUAGGGUAAAGGCCUACCAAGGCGACGAUCUGCAGCUGGUCUGAGAGGAUGGCCAGCCACACUGGAACUGAGGACACGGUCCAGACUCCUACGGGAGGCAGCAGUGGGGAAUAUUGGACAAUGGGGGCAACCCUGAUCCAGCCAUGCCGCGUGUGUGAAGAAGGCCUCGGUUG